Molecule: non-coding RNA, 24 nt
Filed under: Arabidopsis thaliana (thale cress)
Lineage: Eukaryota; Viridiplantae; Streptophyta; Magnoliopsida; Brassicales; Brassicaceae
Source: RNAcentral
GACGAAAACUGUGAACAAGAGCCU